AGUGAACGCUGGCGGUAGGCCUAACACAUGCAAGUCGAACGGCAGCACAGGAGAGCUUGCUCUCUGGGUGGCGAGUGGCGGACGGGUGAGGAAUACAUCGGAAUCUGCCCAGUCGUGGGGGAUAACGUAGGGAAACUUACGCUAAUACCGCAUACGACCUUCGGGUGAAAGAGGGGGAUCGCAAGACCUCUCUCGAUUGGAUGAGCCGAUGUCGGAUUAGCUAGUUGGCGGGGUAAUGGCGCACCAAGGCGACGAUCCGUAGCUGGUCUGAGAGGAUGAUCAGCCACACUGGAACUGAGACACGGUCCAGACUCCUACGGGAGGCAGCAGUGGGGAAUAUUGGACAAUGGGCGCAAGCCUGAUCCAGCCAUACCGCGUGGGUGAAGAAGGCCUUCGGGUUGUAAAGCCCUUUUGUUGGGAAAGAAAUCUUUCAGGCUAAUACCCUGGGAGGAUGACGGUACCCAAAGAAUAAGCACCGGCUAACUUCGUG
RNAcentral lists this ribosomal RNA (490 nucleotides) under uncultured bacterium. RNAcentral describes it as "partial 16S ribosomal RNA". It matches the Rfam family "Bacterial small subunit ribosomal RNA", at positions 29 to 507 of the family's 1533-position model. The record is from RNAcentral.